GGCUUAUUUUGGAGACCAAUCAACCGUAACAAAAUCAGAUAUGUAAAUCGAGCAAGUAUGAAAAUCAGUGUGACAUGAAUGAAUAGUAAAAAAAGCCUCUCUUUUAAGUGAGUAAAAAUUUACAUAUUGUGUAAAAUAAAUUUGGUGUCAAGGGUCUUCGUAAUUGCCUUCGUAAUAAUUAAACGUAGAGCCUCUAAACUCUCACUACCGGCCCUGCUCUCCGCCUCUCCAUCUUGCCGCCUUCCACCUCUGACCAUCGGCCUCCGACGUUCUAGCCCUAUACGCAGGUCACGCAGCACCUUCAACCCCUAGACGCCUUCGAGCCCUUGAACUUCUCGAGACACGGCAGCCGGCAGCUGUCCUUCGAGUCUACAUUUCCACCAACGAUUCAAUGGUAGAAGAAGAAGGUGAAGCCCAUUGAUUCUGAUUCCUAAACCGCACUCAAGUUCUAUCUAAAAAUUAAUUUUCUUGUUCAUUCUGUAAAAAAAAAAAAAAAAGUGCGUAUGUUUUACUUUUUAGUGAAUUCCUACUAUUUCUUGAUUUAAACUGUGGGGGAAAUGGAUUUUGAUUACUGGGCUGCUGGAGUUCAUUCAACUAAGAAGUUUUCUACUCUCCAAGAUGCCAGACUUAAUAAAUCAAGUGUGGAUAAUUGAUUAAUUUCACAGUUAUAGUUUUGGGUUCUUGAAUUGCUUUUUUAUUUUCUUGCUCAAAAUAAUUGUUUUUUCGUGAGGUUUUGCUGAAUAAUUGCUGAUUAGUUUUUUAUAGUUGAUUCAGCUUAAAAAUUAUGCUUUAAGCACUGUUUAUUUGGCUAUAACCUGAAUUUGUAGUGGUUUUGAGUAAUUACUGAUAAUUAGGACAUAUUUUAACGAAAACAAGAAAACUUGGGGAAUUGAAGGCACCGAGUUUCUGAAAUUUCAUAUUUUUCACACACUUUAUAUCUAGUUAGAGUGUAGAAAGGCGAGAGGGAAAAGGUUUAAUGUAUAAUUAAUGUAGCUUGAAUUUAACAGUGCAAGUUUUUGGGUUCUUGAAUUUUCUUUUUCUAGCUCCUAAUUUUUCGCGAGAUUUUGUCAAUUAAUCGAUGAUUUAUUUAUUUGUGUUUGACAUGGGAGAUCCUGGCCCAUUUUUCUGAUCAUAUUUCCUUUGAUUUUGAUCAUUCUGCUCUGAAAUUGGAGUAGCAUCAUAAUUCUAUUGUAUAUGUCUAUUUUAGCUUACACUUCUGCUCUACACACUCAAAACUGAAUUAUAUGAACAUUCUUGAAUGGGUCGUAGCCCUCUUACCAUUGUGUUAUUUUCAUCAAACAAAUUCUCUUUUGGAUUAGGCAGAGUCUCGAAGGUAGAUUUUGUUUUACAUAAUAUCAACCCUCUUAGAAAAUUCCAUGGCGCUGCCUCUUCUUGUGAGCUCAUUUAUGCACCACAGCAUGCCAUCCCCUUUUUUCACAUUGGAGAGAAGUAUAAAACUACAAAAUAUGUGAUAACUGGUGUGACAGAAGGCUUGGAUACAUUUGAUGCCAGUGGCAUGAAAAAGAUCAGUGGUGGUCAAUGAAGUAGGAUUGAUGUGCCUCCUCCUUCACCCACCUCUGUCAACCUUUCUCUUUGGAGUAACAGUAUUGACAUUUAAAUCAGUAGCUAUGCUUGCUAAAGCAAUAAGAAGAAGUGGUAAUUCUUCCCCAACUUCUCAAAGUAGAUGUAAGAGGCAAGAAUAGUUGUGAUCCACGUGUUGCAAUGAGUUGACUUGCAGUCAGUAUUCCUUUUAUUGAAGUGUGUAGAAAGACAAGGUUGAGAUAAACAAGUAUAGGUUUGACAGUAGGCACAUAAUGGUAGGGAGCCUAGGGAUUGCAAUGUAAUUUAGGAAUCAAUCCAUUGACUAAAUGUAAAUUUAUUUUUACCUUACCUAUUCUUCAUAUUUGUCAUUUAAUCUUAGGGCAGACAUUAUAUUAUACUGAAAUACAUUUUUUUAUUUGUAUCUAAAUGACCAACAUCUACACGUGUAAAUAAUUUGAUAGGGCUGGCAUUUUCACUGAUUUCACUAGUAGAGAACUGCAUGAGCACACAGUUGCAUUUCCUUGAAAGAGCUAUUUAAUUAAAUGCCUUAUAAAUCUGUGUUAUGUUUACAUUUGUACCUCAAAAAUGAGGUAGAAUGAACAGUUCAUGAGCAUUUUUGAAGUCUUUGGAGAUCUGUGUGGCUUAAACGGAUCAAUGCUUCUAAAUAAUUCAUUGAUUUAUGGUCAACAUACGGAAACAAACAAUCUGUGGAAUUAAUUUUUUUCCUGAUUCUUGUGUUUCAAGAUAAAGGAGCUUAUUAGAGGUGAAGGACGCUCAAAAUGCAGAGCACAUGGAGAUCCCACUGUUCCAGAGUGGAUGGGCUACAAGAUCUUCACCAAAGUUCAUGGUCAGUAAAUGCAGAGACUAAUCCAGAAUAAUAAAGUCAUGCAACCUUGUAAGGUAGUUUAGUUAGAACAUAUUUGUUGUUGAGCAUUGACAGUCUCUUUUUUCUAUCUUAGAGGAGGACAAAAAACUUAAAAAUUCGGCUUUUGGAGUAACAUAUCCACAAACAUUGUUAUAGACAUCAGAGAACUAAGUUCAUAUUCCAUGAGUGGUUGGAUUAAUGGGAGUGAACCUGCACCUGAUCCAUUCCUUUCCCACGUUUCUCUACAAUAUGCCCCUUUCGGAUUCUAAAGAUAGUCAGAAAGAUGUAACUUCUUACAUUGCUGCCACUAGUGAUGUAGAAAUAUCAUUAAUAUCAACAUGAAUUAGACGAAGAGAAGUUGGUUAUGUUUUUCAAUAGCAUGCUUGCAUUUUUUACAUUAUGUAUUCAAGUGUAUAGGAGAAUAUUGUCAUGCUUCACAUUAUGUAUUCAAAAAUUUGUAAUGAAAUUAUAAUUUUUUAUAAAAUUCCAUAAUUUGUCAUUUUCAA
Molecule: long non-coding RNA, 2913 nt
Filed under: Olea europaea subsp. europaea
Lineage: Eukaryota; Viridiplantae; Streptophyta; Magnoliopsida; Lamiales; Oleaceae
Source: RNAcentral